UAAUCAUUAGUCUUUUAAUUGAAGGCUGGUAUGAACGGUUGGACGAGGUAUAAGCUGUUUCAUAUAAAUUUAUAAUAGAAUUUUAUAUUUUAGUCAAAAAGCUAAAAUAUAUUUAAAAGACGAGAAGACCCUAUAAAUCUUUAUAUUUUGUGUUGUUUAAAUUUUUUGGAAUUGGUUUAUUUUUAUAAUAUAAAAUAUUUUGUUGGGGUGAUAUUAAAAUUUAAUUAACUUUUAAUUAUUUAAAAUCAUUAAUUUAUGAGUUAUUGAUCCAUUAAUAGUGAUUAUAAGAUUAAGUUACUUUAGGGAUAACAGCGUAAUUUUUUUGGAGAGUUCAUAUCGAUAAAAAAGUUUGCGACCUCGAUGUUGGAUUAAGAUAUAAUUUUAGGUGUAGUCGCUUAAAUGUUAAGUCUGUUCGACUUUUAAAUUCUUACAUGAUCUGAGUUCAGACCGGCGUAAGCCAGGUUGGUUUCUAUCUUUAAAUUUUUAUAAUGCCUUAGUACGAAAGGACCAGGCAUUAAAAUAAUAAUAUUUUAUUUAUAGAAUGUGAUUAAUU
RNAcentral lists this ribosomal RNA (553 nucleotides) under Bactrocera oleae (olive fruit fly). Its description in RNAcentral is "partial large subunit ribosomal RNA". The stretch from base 305 to 464 matches the Rfam family "Bacterial large subunit ribosomal RNA", at positions 2473 to 2632 of the family's 2925-position model. Lineage: Eukaryota; Metazoa; Arthropoda; Insecta; Diptera; Tephritidae. The record is from RNAcentral.